Long non-coding RNA from Haliotis rubra (blacklip abalone), 520 nucleotides. RefSeq lists it as uncharacterized. The transcript is spliced from 2 exons. Lineage: Eukaryota; Metazoa; Mollusca; Gastropoda; Lepetellida; Haliotidae. The record is from RefSeq and is a predicted model, not a curated record.
GUAGAUACUUGUCCCAGUGUCAUUCAGUUUUGCAAAGGGUGACACAUAACCAGCAGCAGCCCGGGAAACACCAGAUCCAUUACUGACCUUGCCAGGAACAUUCUUCAGAAUAUGAAUGUCAAGAAUAUUCCUCAGCACUGUGAAAGCAACAUAUGGAAGUAUUCCAGUUUCCAGAAUAUGAAUGUCAAGCCUUUUCCUCAGCACUGUGAAAGCAAUAUAUGGAGUAUUCCAGAAUAUGAAUGUCAAGCUUUUUCCUCAGCACUGUGAAAGCAAUAUAUGGAGUAUUCCAGUUUCCAGAAUAUGAAUGUCAAGCUUUUUCCUCAGCACUGUGAAAACAAUAUAUGGAGUAUUCCAGUUUCCAGAAUAUGAAUGUCAAGCCUUUUCCUCAGCACUGUGAAAGCAAUAUAUGGAAGUACUCCACUCUCCAGAAUAUGAAUGUCAACCUUUUUCCUCUGCCCUCUGAACUCAACUGCCAAUCAACUGUCUGAUCCUUCUUCUGAUUAAACAUCUACGCUGACUC